CAGCAGCCGCGGUAAUACGUAGGUGGCAAGCGUUGUCCGGAAUUAUUGGGCGUAAAGGGCUCGCAGGCGGUUCCUUAAGUCUGAUGUGAAAGCCCCCGGCUCAACCGGGGAGGGUCACUGGAAACUGGGAAACUUGAGUGCAGAAGAGGAGAGUGGAAUUCCACGUGUAGCGGUGAAAUGCGUAGAGAUGUGGAGGAACACCAGUGGCGAAGGCGACUCUCUGGUCUAUAACUGACGCUGAGGAGCGAAAGCGUGGGGAGCGAACAGGAUUAGAUACCCCAGUAGUCCCUGUCUCUUAUAC
Molecule: ribosomal RNA, 301 nt
Filed under: uncultured bacterium
Lineage: Bacteria
Description: partial 16S ribosomal RNA
Rfam family: Bacterial small subunit ribosomal RNA
Source: RNAcentral